RNAcentral lists this ribosomal RNA (541 nucleotides) under alpha proteobacterium sj50. RNAcentral describes it as "bacterial SSU rRNA". It matches the Rfam family "Bacterial small subunit ribosomal RNA", at positions 346 to 905 of the family's 1533-position model. The record is from RNAcentral. Lineage: Bacteria; Pseudomonadati; Pseudomonadota; Alphaproteobacteria.
AGGCAGCAGUGGGGAAUCUUGCGCAAUGGGCGAAAGCCUGACGCAGCCAUGCCGCGUGUAUGAUGAAGGUCUUAGGAUUGUAAAAUACUUUCACCGGUGAAGAUAAUGACUGUAGCCGGAGAAGAAGCCCCGGCUAACUUCGUGCCAGCAGCCGCGGUAAUACGAAGGGGGCUAGCGUUGCUCGGAAUUACUGGGCGUAAAGGGAGCGUAGGCGGACAUUUAAGUCAGAGGUGAAAUCCCGGAGCUUAACUUCGGAACUGCCUUUGAUACUGGAUGUCUUGAGUGUGAGAGAGGUAUGUGGAACUCCGAGUGUAGAGGUGAAAUUCGUAGAUAUUCGGAAGAACACCAGUGGCGAAGGCGACAUACUGGCUCAUUACUGACGCUGAGGCUCGAAAGCGUGGGGAGCAAACAGGAUUAGAUACCCUGGUAGUCCACGCCGUAAACGAUGAUUGCUAGUUGUCGGGAAGCUUGCUUCUCGGUGACGCAGCUAACGCAUUAAGCAAUCCGCCUGGGGAGUACGGUCGCAAGAUUAAAACUCAAA